GGGCAGAGGUCGAACAGCAUCCAGUAUGAAGAUACUUUCCUGCCUCCAAUUCCUCUCCCUCUAGCCAGCCUGGGAGAGUGAGCGAGAAAUUGUGUUUUCAUGGAGUGCCCCAACCCCGAUGAGGCCCAGCGCGCUCAUCUCGGUCGUGAGCUUCGCGUGGAGCCCCAGCAUAUCAAACUCUGGUUCAAGAACCGCCGUGCCCAGAUGAGGAGGGCUAGGCACGAGCCGGUGGACAACCACUUAUCUGACUUGGAGAAUGAUGAGAUCGACUCGGAGAAUGACGAGAUCCACUAAGACAACUUCGCGAUGUGGGUUUGUGGAUCGAGGGCUUCCCGUGACUCUGUUCGUUCUAAAUAACGUGCCAUAGAACUGCCUGCAAGCACGCGGUGUGCACUGAGAGUCGGUCUCGACGGCAAGCAUGUUUGCGUCGAGUCCAUGUGUCAGGUUUGGGUCGCUCCCGUUUCUACCGCGUCGUGAACCGAGUCAUGGGAUGGGAUGGCACAUCGGAUCACACGUGAUAAUAGUGGAGCCGUAGAUCA
Triticum urartu is the source of this 539-nucleotide non-coding RNA. The record is from RefSeq and is a predicted model, not a curated record. Lineage: Eukaryota; Viridiplantae; Streptophyta; Magnoliopsida; Poales; Poaceae.